This 293-nucleotide long non-coding RNA is filed under the name Chlamydomonas reinhardtii. RNAcentral describes it as "long non-coding RNA (CREI_LNC000740)". The record is from RNAcentral. Lineage: Eukaryota; Viridiplantae; Chlorophyta; Chlorophyceae; Chlamydomonadales; Chlamydomonadaceae.
AGCUACGCAGUUAAAGUUUGGUGGCGUCCAGCAACAACAUGGACUUGUGCGCGAAGCCGGUGUAGCGGUACUCCUCGUCCAGCGUCUCCAGCAGUGCGUGCUGCAGCGAGAAGGGCUUCUCCAGCAGGUUGAUGUCGUAGUAGUCGCCCACGGCGAUGUCCAGGUUCCGGUACUGCGUGGUGCUUUCGUUGAGGUAGCUGCCGACCAGCAGGUACUUGGCGCCGCUGUCUCGCACGUUGUGCAAGAAGGAGUGCACGUAGCUCAGCGGCAGAUGCUGCAGCGCGUCCCGGCUG